UAUGCCGCAAGGUGAAAUACGAAAGUGCCUAAAGACGAGCUCGCGCCUGAUUAGCUAGUUGGUGGGGUAAAGGCCUACCAAGGCGACGAUCAGUAGCUGGUUUGAGAGAAUGAUCAGCCACACUGGAACUGAGACACGGUCCAGACUCCUGCGGGAGGCAGCAGUGGGGAAUUUUCCGCAAUGGGCGAAAGCCUGACGGAGCAAUACCGCGUGAGGGAUUAAGGCCUGUGGGUUGUAAACCUCUUUUCUCAAGGAAGAACCAAUGACGGUACUUGAGGAAUAAGCAUCGGCUAACUCCGUGCCAGCAGCCGCGGUAAUACGGGGGAUGCAAGCGUUAUCCGGAAUUAUUGGGCGUAAAGCGUCUGUAGGUUGUUUAAUAAGUCUGUUGUUAAAGACUGGGGCUUAACCCCAGGAAAGCAAUGGAAACUGUUAGGCUAGAGUAUGGUAGAGGUAGAGGGAAUUCCUAGUGUAGCGGUGAAAUGCGUAGAUAUUAGGAAGAACACCGGUGGCGAAAGCGCUCUGCUGGGCCAUUACUGACACUCAGAGACGAAAGCUAGGGUAGCAAAUGGGAUUAGAUACCCCAGUAGUCCUAGCCGUAAACGAUGGAUACUAGAUGUUGCGUAACUCGAUUAUGCAGUGUUGUAGCUAACGCGUUAAGUAUCCCGCCUGGGGAGUACACUCGCAAGGGUGAAACUCAAAGGAAUUGACGGGGGCCCGCACAAGCGGUGGAGCAUGUGGUUUAAUUUGAUGCAACGCGAAGAACCUUACCAAGGCUUGACAUGUCACG
This 787-nucleotide ribosomal RNA is filed under the name uncultured eukaryote. RNAcentral describes it as "bacterial SSU rRNA". It matches the Rfam family "Bacterial small subunit ribosomal RNA", at positions 189 to 993 of the family's 1533-position model. The record is from RNAcentral.